RNAcentral lists this ribosomal RNA (482 nucleotides) under uncultured bacterium. RNAcentral's name for it is "partial 16S ribosomal RNA". It matches the Rfam family "Bacterial small subunit ribosomal RNA", at positions 30 to 507 of the family's 1533-position model. The record is from RNAcentral.
AUUGAACGCUGGCGGCAUGCCUUACACAUGCAAGUCGAACGGUAACGGGCCUUCGGGUGCCGACGAGUGGCGAACGGGUGAGUAAUACAUCGGAACGUGCCCGAUCGUGGGGGAUAACGAGGCGAAAGCUUUGCUAAUACCGCAUACGAUCUACGGAUGAAAGCAGGGGACCGCAAGGCCUUGUGCGGACGGAGCGGCCGAUGGCAGAUUAGGUAGUUGGUGGGAUAAAAGCUUACCAAGCCGACGAUCUGUAGCUGGUCUGAGAGGAUGAUCAGCCACACUGGGACUGAGACACGGCCCAGACUCCUACGGGAGGCAGCAGUGGGGAAUUUUGGACAAUGGGCGCAAGCCUGAUCCAGCCAUGCCGCGUGCAGGAUGAAGGCCUUCGGGUUGUAAACUGCUUUUGUACGGAACGAAAAGCCUUCUUUUAAUACAGGAGGGUCAUGACGGUACCGUAAGAAUAAGCACCGGCUAACUACGUG